CCGCGUGAGUGAUGAAGGUUUUCGGAUCGUAAAGCUCUGUUGUUAGGGAAGAACAAGUGCCGUUCAAAUAGGGCGGCACCUUGACGGUACCUAACCAGAAAGCCACGGCUAACUACGUGCCAGCAGCCGCGGUAAUACGUAGGUGGCAAGCGUUGUCCGGAAUUAUUGGGCGUAAAGGGCUCGCAGGCGGUUUCUUAAGUCUGAUGUGAAAGCCCCCGGCUCAACCGGGGAGGGUCAUUGGAAACUGGGGAACUUGAGUGCAGAAGAGGAGAGUGGAAUUCCACGUGUAGCGGUGAAAUGCGUAGAGAUGUGGAGGAACACCAGUGGCGAAGGCGACUCUCUGGUCUGUAACUGACGCUGAGGAGCGAAAGCGUGGGGAGCGAACAGGAUUAGAUACCCUGGUAGUCCACGCCGUAAACGAUGAGUGCUAAGUGUUAGGGGGUUUCCGCCCCUUAGUGCUGCAGCUAACGCAUUAAGCACUC
Molecule: ribosomal RNA, 482 nt
Filed under: Bacillus amyloliquefaciens
Lineage: Bacteria; Bacillati; Bacillota; Bacilli; Caryophanales; Bacillaceae
Description: bacterial SSU rRNA
Rfam family: Bacterial small subunit ribosomal RNA
Source: RNAcentral